AGCGAACGCUGGCGGCAGGCUUAACACAUGCAAGUCGAACGGGCACCUUCGGGUGUCAGUGGCAGACGGGUGAGUAACACGUGGGAACGUGCCCUUCGGUUCGGAAUAACUCAGGGAAACUUGAGCUAAUACCGGAUACGCCCUUCUGGGGAAAGGUUUACUGCCGAAGGAUCGGCCCGCGUCUGAUUAGCUUGUUGGUGGGGUACACGGCCUACCAAGGCGACGAUCAGUAGCUGGUCUGAGAGGAUGAUCAGCCACACUGGGACUGAGACACGGCCCAGACUCCUACGGGAGGCAGCAGUGGGGAAUAUUGGACAAUGGGCGCAAGCCUGAUCCAGCCAUGCCGCGUGAGUGAUGAAGGCCUUAGGGU
This 370-nucleotide ribosomal RNA is filed under the name Methylobacterium sp. MMA-C-2. RNAcentral's name for it is "bacterial SSU rRNA". It matches the Rfam family "Bacterial small subunit ribosomal RNA", at positions 29 to 423 of the family's 1533-position model. The record is from RNAcentral. Lineage: Bacteria; Pseudomonadati; Pseudomonadota; Alphaproteobacteria; Hyphomicrobiales; Methylobacteriaceae.